GUAUUGUUAUAAGAUAGACAUAAAAAUGUGCUGAAACCACAAGAAAUCUCGGCACAAACAUGUACCUGAUAAAAGCCACCGAGAAAACAGGAGUUAGAAGCAGGAGAAGAGAAGGAGGGAAGAGAAAAGGCAACUGUAAGAAAGUAGAGCAACUGCCAAGAAGAAGAUGAAUGAUCUGGCUCAAAAUGAGAACAGUUUCAAAGAAGGGCAAAGGGAUAGACUACCCGAUCCAGCUCACAAGAAGUCUGGAGUAGGAGAGAAGAGUGCGGAAGGGAAAUCGGUGUUCCCCUGAGCGAGCAGGAUAAAUGUGAGUAAGUCAAUGGUCACGAAGGAAAACUAAGAGAGUUAACUGUGGGCACGCUGAAACAGGCUGAAUCGCCCACAUCGGGGUCAUCUGGCCUGGGCCGGACAUCACACGCUCAGCAGACGACUUCACAGGUGUGGAAGAAAGGACUGCACCACACCUUCACUCUCACCAUGAAGGUCGAUGAGCGUUGGAGGAGCUAGAGGUGUGCAGUCUGAUCUAGAUGCUACUCGAGGUAUACGUGUAUUGAAGUAUCCUGCGGACCCCUACUCCUGUAACUUUUAUGCUUUUAUAUGUAUCGAUUUAAAAAAUAAAUAGAUUAUACUCCUUAA
Molecule: non-coding RNA, 636 nt
Organism: Ictidomys tridecemlineatus (thirteen-lined ground squirrel)
Lineage: Eukaryota; Metazoa; Chordata; Mammalia; Rodentia; Sciuridae
Source: RefSeq, a predicted model, not a curated record